UAAAAAUCCCACAUAUUUAACAUCUUACAAAACACAAAUUAAUCAAACCAUAUUCUGAGCCUAAAAUACAUAAACAUCCAAACACCAAAUUUAAAAAUCUUAAUAAUACAAAUAACAGUAAUUAGAAUCCAAAUUACAAAAGCCAAGUGCUUUCUUUAGUUCUCUUCAUUUUGUUCAAUAGGAAUCCUGCACAUAAAAAGUAAAUAAAAUUAAUACAAUGUCAAGUUGGUUUAUUCAUAUUAAUUAGUUGUAUGAAAAGGAAUGGCAGUGAUGGGAAAGGUCCUUAAACCUUCCCUUUUAAGUCAACAAAAUUGGCGAUCAACUAUUGUAAUAACAUAUUAACACGGCAAAUCGGUGCAAUAUACAUCUCAUACCAACAAAUUUGAUUGAGGAUAUUAUCAUAGUUGUUAACAUAUAUGUUUCCAUAAUAUUGAUUUUAAUGAUAACAAACAAGAUUAAGAAUGAUUAAUCUUUUAAGAUCAAAUUAUUUUUUAUAUAUUUUUAAAUAAAUCAUUAUUUUCACAUUAUAAAUGUUUCAUAUUUAAUGGAAAAAUGAUUUUAUGAAAUUGGUUGUUUUUCAAAGUUUAUGGUUUAAUUGAAAGAAUUUUGAAAACUUUGAAAUAAACAAGUAUUGCUUGAAAUUUUGGAGAAUGACUUAUUUGAAAAGUGUCAUAGCAUUUUGGGCUAUACCAUAAUUUCAGAAAGUUUUGGGAUUAACAAAGCAUUAUUUAGAAAUUCUGAAAUUGGACCUAUUUGUAAAUUUUUAUAACGUUUUGGGCCGUAACACAGUUUUAUAAAGUUUUGGGGUCAAACUGUGAAUUUGGAAAAUAUUUCACUGUAGCAGUUACUGUAGCAUACUGUAGAAAACGGCGAUCCGACAUCUUGAUAACGGCUCGCCGACAUCUAACAGAAUUGAAGAUUAGUCUCUGGACCUAAACGGCGAACCGACAUGUGUGAUAAACGGCUCGUCGAUAUAAACCAGUAGCCUCUGGACCUAAACGGCGAUCCGACAUAUAAUUAACGGCGAUCCGACAAUUUGAAAAAACAGCCCAACGGUCAUAUUGACCAGUCAAACGGCGAUCCGACAUCUAGCUAACGGCGAUCCGACAGUGUGCAGAAAGUCAAUAACGGCCAGUUUUCAGCUCCAACUAUAAAUAAGCUCAAUCCAAUUCAAACAAGAAGAUUUCCAACGAUCAUCAUUGAGCAAAAUAUUGAGAAUACAACUUUCAUUGAGCUUUAAAUCUUUGUAUUCAUCUUAUUCAUUCACACAUUGAGCUUUCACUUGUGAUCAAACACAUUGUGUGUGAGAGAUUCAUUUGUAAUCUUUUUUGUAAAAUCAAGUUAAAAGAUUGUAAGUGUUGGGAUACACUUGGGUUAAGAGAUUGGGGAUAAUCUCUUGUUGUAAAGGUCCAUUGACACCUUGGAAGUCAAUUGUAAGCGUUUGAAGCCUUGGGAGGCUAGCUUAGUGAAAUCCUCAAGCCCGGUGAGCUUGGAGGCGUGGACGUAGGCGAGGAUUGCCGAACCACGUAAAAAUCAUUGUGUUUGUUUUCUCUUCCCUUACUCUUUUAAUAUUGUGCAUGAUUGAAUUUAUUGUUUUCAAUUUGAUUAAGGCAAUAGAUUAAAUUGUUGUGUGGUUUGCUUAGCUUAAUUUUUAAAAAACCCAAUUCACCCCCCCUCUUGGGUUGCCUAGUUAGUAUUUCAAUAGUUACUAAUCUGGAACCGAUAAUUAAGUAUUGGAAUUUAUAAUCACCAACGAAAAAAAAAAAGGAAACUCAAUAGCUUAAAAAUUUAAAAAGAAAAAAAAAACGAGAUGAGAAGGGAAUAGGAGCUUACUGUGCGGUAGAUGAAAGUGAGAUGGUGGAGGCCAAAGCUUUGUUUCGUUAAUUAAACAAAACAAGAUGAAAAGGGAAGAACGGCUGAGAUGGUCCCUUGU
This 1933-nucleotide long non-coding RNA is filed under the name Citrus maxima (pomelo). RNAcentral describes it as "long non-coding RNA (CMAX_LNC002243)". The record is from RNAcentral. Lineage: Eukaryota; Viridiplantae; Streptophyta; Magnoliopsida; Sapindales; Rutaceae.